UGGGGAAUAUUGCACAAUGGGCGCAAGCCUGAUGCAGCCAUGUCGUGUGUGUGAAGAAGGCCUUCGGGUUGUAAAGCACUUUCAGCGGGGAGGAAGGCGUUAAGGUUAAUAACCUUGGCGAUUGACGUUACCCGCAGAAGAAGCACCGGCUAACUCCGUGCCAGCAGCCGCGGUAAUACGGAGGGUGCAAGCGUUAAUCGGAAUUACUGGGCGUAAAGCGCACGCAGGCGGUUUGUUAAGUAAGAUGUGAAAUCCCCGGGCUCAACCUGGGAACUGCAUCUGUUACUGGCAAGCUUGAGUCUCGUAGAGGGGGGUAGAAUUCCGUGUGUAGCGGUGAAAUGCGUAGAGAUCUGGAGGAAUACCGGUGACGAAGGCGGCCCCCUGGACGAAGAAUGACGCUCAGGUGCGAAAGCGUGGGGAGCAAACAGG
Molecule: ribosomal RNA, 429 nt
Filed under: Chloroflexota bacterium
Lineage: Bacteria; Bacillati; Chloroflexota
Description: Chloroflexi bacterium partial 16S ribosomal RNA
Rfam family: Bacterial small subunit ribosomal RNA
Source: RNAcentral